Long non-coding RNA from Glycine soja, 746 nucleotides. RefSeq lists it as uncharacterized. Lineage: Eukaryota; Viridiplantae; Streptophyta; Magnoliopsida; Fabales; Fabaceae. The transcript is spliced from 2 exons. The record is from RefSeq and is a predicted model, not a curated record.
AGCCUAAUAAAAAAACGUACAAAAGAGGGAGACAAAAAACUAAAAAGGAACCACAUACUUUUAAUAUGCUUUUGCUAGCUAUACGUUUGCCAUCUUCCCAUUGCUCUUAUCUGUACGCAAUCCUCACUCAACCUCUUGAAGAAGAGACGAGGAAGAACGACACAAGAUGUGUAUAUAUACACAUACAUAUAACCUAAGAAAUUAAACAUGUAUAGAUGAAGAUUAUAAGCUACUACGGUCCGUGGAGGGAAAAGGGUCAUAUAUUUGUAUACUACUCUCUUCAUUGUCGUGCACCUGCAGCAGUUGAAGCUGCCAGCAUGAUCUGAGUUUACCUUCUAUUGGUAAGAACAGAUCAUGUGGCUGCUUCACCUGUUGAAUGGAAGCAUAUAGAAACCCUAAUUCGCUUUCUGAUUCUCCAGAACAACUUCAUCCGGUUUCAUAGAACCCUAGAAAAGAUUCUAUUUGAAUCAGCAUUCAUGUUGCUUGAUUCUUGUAAAAAGAAAGAGGAGAGGAUGGUGGCAUAUGUUCAUGAUUCCAGUGACAGUAACGCACUAACGCGUUCCGGUGGUGCGUUCUCCUACCUUGGGGUUGGGGACACUUAGUAUUAAUUAUUUUCAUUAGUCACCUAAUUAAUUAAAACUGUUUUUUUUCCAUCAUUUUUUCUGUUGCAUAUGCAAUCAUGCAGUAGUUUUGAUUUGUCUACUAAUCUUAUCGUGAUCAGUACUACUAAAUUGCAUAUAUUUUGA